Molecule: transfer RNA, 81 nt
Filed under: Schistocephalus solidus
Lineage: Eukaryota; Metazoa; Platyhelminthes; Cestoda; Diphyllobothriidea; Diphyllobothriidae
Rfam family: tRNA
About the family: Transfer RNA (tRNA) molecules are approximately 80 nucleotides in length. Their secondary structure includes four short double-helical elements and three loops (D, anti-codon, and T loops).
Source: Rfam by way of RNAcentral
GACCUCGUAGCUCAGUUAGCUAGAGCGUUGGCUGCACUAAAGCCCUCCUUGCUUGCGUCGGUUCACAUCCCACUGAGGUCA